This 113-nucleotide ribosomal RNA is filed under the name Pseudomonas fulva. Its description in RNAcentral is "partial 16S ribosomal RNA". The stretch from base 41 to 113 matches the Rfam family "Bacterial small subunit ribosomal RNA", at positions 1 to 73 of the family's 1533-position model. RNAcentral also lists the same sequence under 1 other name. Lineage: Bacteria; Pseudomonadati; Pseudomonadota; Gammaproteobacteria; Pseudomonadales; Pseudomonadaceae. The record is from RNAcentral.
UGAGCCAAGUUUAGGGUUUCUUAAAAACCCAAGCAGUAUUGAACUGAAGAGUUUGAUCAUGGCUCAGAUUGAACGCUGGCGGCAGGCCUAACACAUGCAAGUCGAGCGGAUGA